This 126-nucleotide ribosomal RNA is filed under the name Danio rerio (zebrafish). Lineage: Eukaryota; Metazoa; Chordata; Actinopteri; Cypriniformes; Danionidae. The record is from RNAcentral.
UCCGGCAGCCGCCAGCCUAUAGCCGAUAGCUAGCUCUCUGCAACUCUCACGUGGUCGCCCACUGAAACGAAACAGGGCCAGUACCUGGAUGGGAGACCACAUUGGAAAGCUAGCUUGCUGCCGGAA